This 1847-nucleotide long non-coding RNA is filed under the name Mytilus galloprovincialis (Mediterranean mussel). Lineage: Eukaryota; Metazoa; Mollusca; Bivalvia; Mytilida; Mytilidae. The record is from RNAcentral.
GAGGAUAAUAGAGACAAUCACAUUACGCGGGAUUCAUACAUGUACUUAUACGCGUUACCGCUCUCUAUAUGUAACGUCAUGGUUGCUAUGUAUUAACGUCAUUGUAUCUUACCAGCAUUAAAUCAUCCAUUUGUAUAGACGUCUUUUUCUCUAUUCAAAACACAACGCAACUACAACUUAUACGAUCACGAGAUUGGUACCGAGACCAGGAUAGAAGAUGGAUUCGUCGAGAAUCAAGUCUAUUCGAGCUGGAAAUAGAGCCGCUGUCACGAAAUUCUUCAAGAAACUAGAUGAGCUGAACACCGAUUCGGAGAUGGAUAUUGACAUUGCAGGUCCAAUUAUUGACGCUAUAGUGAAAAAACAAAGUGUAAUUCUUAAACUGGAUGAACAGAUUUUGGAAAAUACAUCGGAUGAAGAUAUAGAAGUUGAAAUUACAGAUGCAGAUGAGUAUAAUUUAGAUCUUGAAACAAAUUUACGCCGUUAUAAGAAAUUAGCACAAACAGUUACACGUACAUGUACAGAAUUAUCUCAUGAAAGCAUCCCAAACACACGCCCCGUCAUGAACAUGCAUGAAGUCAAUUCCGAGACCCGUCCUGUAAUGAACACAGAAUUCUUCCCAAGAUAUUCAUCGCAAACUACUAAUAGUUCACUGUCUAGUCAAAAUCACCGCUUGCCGAAGCUAACCCUACCUACUUUUUCUGGGGAUAUUCUAGAGUGGCAAUACUUUUGGGAGUCGUUUGAAAACACAAUUCACAGCAAUCAUACACUUACUGAUGUCCAGAAAUUCACGUACCUACAGUCACUUCUUGAUGCAGACGCUAUGAAUGUCAUAAAUGGUUUAAACUUGUCCAGCGCAAACUAUCACAAAGCCGUGGAGUUAUUAGUAAAUCGCUUUGGGAAAACACACAAGAUUGUGAACGCUUAUAUGAAAGCUCUUUUAGAUUUGCCAGCACCCUCAUACACAUUAGAUAGUAUUCGUAAUUUUUCGGAUAAGUCAGAGGUUUAUAUCCGUGGAUUGGAAUCUUUAGGACAGUGCCAAGAUACGUAUGGUUCCCUGUUAAUCCCAGUUAUGCUUGGUAAGCUCCCUAUUGCCGUAAAAAGUAAUAUCACAAGGGAAAACGGAAACGACGACUGGACUCUAGGAAAUCUUAGAAAGGCAAUACAACGUGAAAUAUUGAUUCAAGAAGCUAGCACUAAUGAUAGUGCGUCUUAUGAUAUACCUACCGCAAGUUUCCAUGCCGGCAUUGGUAAGAAAAAUGGGAAUUACGUAAAUAAAUCAAAAUCUAAAAACUAUUCUCAAAGUAAGAUGUGCAUUUAUUGCAAUGAUCAACAUUUCCCUGCAGAAUGUAAAAAGUUCACCGACAGCAAAUCUAGAAUGGAGAUUGUAAAGAAGAGAAACCUAUGUUUCAAUUGUUUAGGUAACCAUAGAAUAUCAGAAUGUAAGUCGAAAAACACAUGCCGUACAUGUAAACGUAAACACCACACUAGUUUAUGCCAUGAAUCUUCAAGUCAAAAUUCACAAAGUCAGAAUAUUACAAGUAAUACAGAAAACGGCACGCCAAUCAUGCAUACAUCUGCUAAACAGGAAAACUCGACCGUCUUUUUGAAAACAGCAGUAGCACCCAUAUGGUCACAGAAUCAGUGCGCUGACGCUCACAUACUUUUCGACGAAGGAGCGCAACGAUCAUUUAUGACGCAGGAAAUAGCCGACAAGUUGAACGUCAAGCCAGACGGACAGGAAACCCUCAACAUAUCCGCCUUCGGAAAUUCUGACAAGAAUGUUCGUCACAUGAGUAAAGCCACAGUGUAUUUAGAAGCAGACUCAGGAGAGAAAAUACCUUUACAGG